RNAcentral lists this transfer RNA (71 nucleotides) under Marmota monax (woodchuck). RNAcentral describes it as "tRNA.Ala". Lineage: Eukaryota; Metazoa; Chordata; Mammalia; Rodentia; Sciuridae. The record is from RNAcentral.
GGUGAUAGCUCAGUGGUAGCUAGAGCGCUUGCCUCGCACACUUGAGGCUCUGGGUUCAAUCCUCAGCACCA